This 254-nucleotide ribosomal RNA is filed under the name uncultured bacterium. RNAcentral describes it as "partial 16S ribosomal RNA". It matches the Rfam family "Bacterial small subunit ribosomal RNA", at positions 524 to 776 of the family's 1533-position model. The record is from RNAcentral.
UACGUAGGGUGCGAGCGUUGUUCGGAUUUACUGGGCGUAAAGGGCGCGUAGGCGGCCAGCACAAGUCAGUUGUGAAAUCUCCGAGCUUAACUCGGAAAGGUCAACUGAUACUGUGCGGCUAGAGUGCGGAAGGGGCAACUGGAAUUCUUGGUGUAGCGGUGAAAUGCGUAGAUAUCAAGAGGAACACCUGCGGCGAAGGCGGGUUGCUGGGCCGACACUGACGCUGAGGCGCGAAAGCCAGGGGAGCGAACGGG